UACGUAGGGUGCAAGCGUUGUCUGGAAUUAUUGGGCGUAAAGAGCUCGUAGGCGGUUUGUCGCGUCGGAUGUGAAAACCCGGGGCUCAACCCCGGGACUGCAUUCGAUACGGGCAGACUAGAGUUCGGUAGGGGAGACUGGAAUUCCUGGUGUAGCGGUGAAAUGCGCAGAUAUCAGGAGGAACACCGGUGGCGAAGGCGGGACUCUGGGCCGGUACUGACGCUGAGGAGCGAAAGCGUGGGGAGCGAACAGG
Molecule: ribosomal RNA, 253 nt
Filed under: uncultured bacterium
Lineage: Bacteria
Description: partial 16S ribosomal RNA
Rfam family: Bacterial small subunit ribosomal RNA
Source: RNAcentral